AAAGGAAUAGACGGGGGCCCGCACAAGCGGCGGAGCAUGUGGAUUAAUUCGAUGCAACGCGAAGAACCUUACCUAGGCUUGACAUAUACAGGACGACGGCAGAGAUGUCGUUUCCCUUGUGGCUUGUAUACAGGUGGUGCAUGGUUGUCGUCAGCUCGUGUCGUGAGAUGUUGGGUUAAGUCCCGCAACGAGCGCAACCCCUGUCUCAUGUUGCCAGCACGUAAUGGUGGGGACUCGUGAGAGACUGCCGGGGUCAACUCGGAGGAAGGUGGGGAUGACGUCAAAUCAUCAUGCCCCUUAUGUCUAGGGCUUCACACAUGCUACAAUGGCUAGUACAGAGGGCUGCGAGACCGUAAGGUGGAGCGAAUCCCUUAAAGCUAGUCUCAGUUCGGAUUGGGGUCUGCAACUCGACCCCAUGAAGUCGGAGUCGCUAGUAAUCGCAGAUCAGCAACGCUGCGGUGAAUACGUUCCCGGGCCUUGUACACACCGCCCGU
RNAcentral lists this ribosomal RNA (494 nucleotides) under uncultured bacterium. RNAcentral describes it as "bacterial SSU rRNA". It matches the Rfam family "Bacterial small subunit ribosomal RNA", at positions 903 to 1397 of the family's 1533-position model. The record is from RNAcentral.